This 3660-nucleotide long non-coding RNA is filed under the name Sus scrofa (pig). Its description in RNAcentral is "lncRNA (ENSSSCG00060062140.1)". The record is from RNAcentral. Lineage: Eukaryota; Metazoa; Chordata; Mammalia; Artiodactyla; Suidae.
AUUAAACAUUUUCUUCCAUUCAAUUUGCUGAACUCUUAAUCUAUUAGGUGAUUUAUAACAUCACCCGGAUUUGUAUGGAUGAGAAUUACCACGAUUUUCUACUCAAGGUGGGAGAUUGAACAUCCUUAAAUUAUCUUUCAGGAAGCCACAAUCCAAGAUGAAGACCCAGAGAGGAGUGCGAAUCCUGCCCUUUCCACAGGAGCUUGGUGGGGCUGAAGGUCACAGUGGGCUGGCCUCUCCUUACUGCAGCAGCCAGGCACAUGACUCAGAGUAUCCCUUGGCAUGGCUACAAGGAUUGGUUCAGAAACGGGCACAUGGACCAGUUUCAGCCAAACCCUGACGGCCUCCUCUGAAAUGUUUCGGUUGGAGUUUGCCAUUUUCUUCUGGAGUUGCUACACAGAGAGGCUGGGGCUGGCAGCCAUGGAAGUCACCUUGGAGGGACACAGGUUGAAGAAGGAAGCCAAGCUAGAUCAGAAGAGAGCUCACAUCUUAUACUGAGGAUGUGACAGGCCCCAGGACCUGACGGAACCACGCAAAUGUGGGAAAGAGCAUUUGAAGCGACAGACACCAAGCACCUGCCCCGUUUUUGGAAAGCAGAUUGUAAGUUGGAAAUUGUCUGCACUUUCAAGGAAGGAAAAAUUCGCAGUCUUUCCAGCUCCAAAUGCUGGCGUGGUGGAAGCUUCAUCUCUGACGAUGCAGAGCCUCCCUCACUCCCUCUUGGUGCAAUGGUAAGUUCUGUGGACCAGAGUGGAUCAGUUCCUUAGUCGACUGUCCGCUGGGGAGUCCUCUGGGAUUUCCAUAAACUGCAUUGGUCCCUUUUUAUUUUCUUACAGCAGUGAUAGUCUUAUUUGUUUAUUUUUUUCUUAUGGGUCCCUUGGAGUCUAGUGGCUGAAGGUCCCUAAGCUUGAGGCCAUACAGGGAUGUGUGUGUGUGUGUGUGUGUGUGUGUGUGUGUGUGUGUGUGUUCCUUCUGAGCCCCAUGGAGGAUGAUGCACUUAAUCUUUCUUACUCUUAGCUCAGCUCAGGAGACCUUUCCACCCUCAAGGAAAUCCUUCCCUCUCUUGAUUUGUUAUAUUUUCCUCAGAGGCAGCCGCUUGAUCUCUUAAUAGGUUUAAGUUCUUGGAACCACAAAUCCCAGGAGAUUCCGCUGCUUAAAACCAUUCCCUGGGGCAGAGGGCCCCUGGGCUGCUCUUCACUUGGAUGAGAGGAGAGGGCGAGAUUUCCAUGAGGUCAAUUCAAAGAAAAUCGUGUCUCCAAAACAUUAUUUCGCCACAGGAACGGAAGAAUGAAGAGAGAUUAGCCACGGAGUAAGGCAUAAAUUGGGGCCGGACUGUGCAGCAGUACAUGAAUGAGAAAGUCCUUCAUUAGGGAAAAGCUGUCUGAGUUACCAUCUUUAACCAACCCCAUCUGAGUGCUUCUCUGUGCUGAGUGGGCGCGUCUGGUCCCACACCCCGUGGCCUUGAAGGAUGAUUCAAAGAUGCCCACUGCUCCUGUGUGGGCUUGGAGGGGCUGACCUCUCUUCCUUUGGUACCUACAGAUGUCACCUCAUCAGGAACCACCAUGUUGAAAGUGGGGCUGUGUCACCCUCCCCCAGUGGCAGGGAGUCUUUUAAGGUCUGCAUGGCUGAGACAAUAUGGUCGUAUAGGCUCCCUCAGUGGAACACGUGCAGGUUUGGAGGUUCUGCUGUUUUCUGUUCCUGUCACAAUCUACUACCAAUGGCAAACAUCCAAAAGGGUGAAAGGUGUUCAGAACAGGAUUAAAUGAUGUGCUGUCUUCUUGAAGUUUCUUUUUUUUCUUUUUAGGGCUGUACCCGCAAGCAUAUGGAGGGUCCCAGACUAGGGAUUGAAUCGGAGCUGUAGCUGCUGGCCUACACCACAGCCACAGCAAUGCCGGAUCCUUAACCCACUGAGUGAGGCCAGGGAUCGAACCCGCAACCUCAUGGUUCCUAGUCGAAUUUGUUUCCCCUGCACCAGAAUGGGAACUCCUGAGCUUGAGUUUUCCAUGCAAAGAAGUGUUUCCUCCUCUUCUUGUCUGUUCCUCUCUCUUUAUCCGCCUGCUUCUUUCCUUUCCCCUUGGGAGACUAUUGACUAUGUUUCUGACCUGGUACCUUCUGUGAUGAUGGAACAUAUCACAGCCUGGGGCCUCUUUAAGACCGUGUCCCAGCUUGCCUGGUAUGAAAACGAACACCCGUCUUUCUCCCUUCCUUCAAUUUUCAAGUAUGCUGCAUUCAGAGCAUCUUCUUGGUACGAUAAGAAAAGAAUAAUUAACAUAAAGGGGAAAAGUUCUUCUGACCUGCCUGUGUCCGUUGAUAAAACAGCAUUUAGUCCCAGGAUUUUGAAGGUUGUGAUGAUGAGGUUGAGGCAUUUGAAAAAAUGUUAAGCUGGUAACAGGGUCACGGGACAUCAAAGCUGCUGUUUCAGGGGAGUCAUUAUACAGUUUUUAAAGCACUUUGUAGAUGUAUCUGUUAGUUCAUUUGGGCUUCACAACAACCUACAGAAAUAGAUAAGACAGGUUUUUCCUGUUUUAUGAAUGAAGAGAUUGCAGCUAAGGGAUUUGCUUCAGGUCACAUAAGUAGUCAAUGGUAGACCUGGAACUUUAGCGCAAAUCUUCUGAUUCCAAGGCCUCUGAUGCACAGUGUUAACUAGAGGGACACAGAUUUAUUUCUUCAUUCAAGUCUUUGCUGGAUAAUCUUGUGUAAGUGGGUUAACACAAUAGACUAAUUUUGACAGAUUUCAUAUCCUUAAAAUGCCAGUAGUUUGGCUUAUAUGGUAACUGGGGUGCACACCUGUUGAAUUUGCCUUCUUAGCAUUCAGGUCCCUUAUUUCUGAUAACAAAAUGCUGAUUUUCCUCGGAGGACCAAACCUUCCCUGUUAUCUGUAGAUGUGGUGGGACAAUACCCUGUCUCCUCACCAGCCUAGGGCUGGGCAGGAUCUCUUGGCUCUGACUUGGGAAUUUGCAUCUUCAGCUGGUGACUUGAUGGGAAAAAUUUCCCCAUUCUAUGUCAGAAUCUCCCAGAGAUUUUAUUAGGUUUCUAUUACCUACAUCUUUGGAGACUUCCUGGUCCUAAUACUUUCUGAGGCCUGUUUGCUCAUAUCUUUCUUUGAUUUUAGGAACUUCUUCAAACCCUUCCAAGGAAUUCCUUUGGUGAUUAGGUUUGCCAGAUUGAUUUUAGUUAUUUACACCCCAAAGUCCCUAACUUAUGGACUUAUGAAAGAAAUCAAAAAGAGAAACAAUAUCUAUAUCUAGCUAGCUAGCUAGCUAGGUAAUUGUUGGUGGCAGGUUUAACUAUUGUCGGAUGUACUCCCUUUUCACGUUUCCAUAGAAGAAGUAAACUUUCUCAUUCUGUUAAUAUUGGACUUGGCCAUGUGAUUGUCUUUGGCUUCAGAGUGGGCAGGGAAUAUUUCCCUACCCCUUGAUCUUGGGUAUAAAGUGGGAUUUGAUUGGGCUAAUGAGAUAUUAGCAGGUAUGACUCAACAGAGGCUGGAAUUGCUCUUGCCUUCUGCUGUUGCCAUGAAAAGAACAUUCCCAGAUUCAUCCAUAGGUUCCAGGAGAAGGAUGAGAAAUGCAAAGUGCAGAUCCACUCAGCUGAGCUGCCCCAGCCUAGAUCAGCAGAUCCCCAGCCAAUCCACAGAUACGUGAACUCAAUAAAUGUUUAUUGUUG